GUGAAGUUUUAUUUUAUCUGCCAGGCUGUUAUGAAAAGUGUACUUUGGCUUCUGGUACUCCCUUCUUCCAGGAAUGAACAAGUUAUGUGCAUUCAGUUUUUGUGGAGCUGACCAUUUCCCUUUGAAAACGGCCCAGUCCAUUUAUUUUAGCACUUGAUUUGGGGACGGGUGUUAAAUUCUGUUGCUGGCAUUGCGCCAAGACACUAGAACGGCAGAGGCCGCGGGGCUGGAGGCUGCAGGGGUGACUCCCCUGCCGGAUCUGGCCAAGCCCCCUGCCAGUCCAGGCCGUUUACCUUCCAGUCACACCAAGAACUAAAACAGCAUCAGCCAAAGCUUUUGAAAAAACCCAAACUGGACAGAGAGUUGCUGAAUUUUUAUAAUGACAGAGGCUUCCAGGAGGAGUGACACGUAUCCCUGCUGGAUGAGCUCACAGUUCCAGUAGGAAGACACAAGCUGAAGGAUUGCAGCAGGAAUGGCUGGAGUGCCAUGGUGUCAUCUCAGCUCACUGCAACCUCUACCCUUUGGUUUCAAGCUAUUCUCCUGGCUCAGCCUCUCAAGUAGCUGGGAUUACAGAUGUUUGCCACCGUGCCCAGGUAAUUUUUGUAUUUUUAGUGGAGACAGGGUUUCACCAUGUUGGCCAGACUGGUCUUAAACUCCUGACCUCGUGAUCCGCCUGCCUCAGACUCCCAAAGUGCUGGGAUUACAGGCAUGAGCCACAGUGGCCAGCAAACUUCUUAUGUCUCCUGUUAAACCUGCCCCAAUCUGGCUUCCAUUUCUGCUUCUCCCCUGAAGCUGUUCUGGUCAAAAUUAUCCACCUCUCCUGUUGUUAAAUCCUAAAACACUUGCCUGUGCUCAACUUACUCAACCUAGCAGCAUUAUUCAGUGCAGCAGAUCACUCCCUCCUUGUAAACACAUUCAUGUUACCUCUGUAAAAUCAGAGUCCACUCUUUCUUCUCUAAGACUACCUGCCUGCCUCAUCUUGGUCAUCUUUUUGAUUCUUCUUUGAUACCUUUAUGAUCACCAGAUAGUAGGAUGCACCAAGGCUUAAUCCUGGACUUUCUAUUGCUUGACAACUACCUUUCCCUACAUUAUCAUUCAGAGCAAGGUGUUAGGGAUUCUUUGCCUGCUCAUAUCCUUACAUUUUAAUGCAGCACAAAUUAUGAAUACUUCCCUGGGCUAUAAAUUCACGUAUCCAGUUGCCUACCUGACAUCUCUACUUCAGUGUAGAGAUGGUCCUGUCCAGACAGAACUCCAUUUCCAACUUCCACAUGUUCCUAAAAGUAGUUGGAAAAAAUCUUUUUAAUUCUUUAUUAGAGUUAAGAGUAUAAUUAGAGUUAACAGUGUUUCUUUUUUACUUUAAAUCCUGCAGGUUUAGCCUUUUUAAAAAUCGGUUCCAAUUAGGUCUUAAGCACAGCUUGUGUGGGUCUCUCUAACAGCAGCUCCAGGCUCUUCAUCUUUCUUCACUCACUCACUCACUCACUCACUCACUCACUCACUCACUCACUCACCUCUUUCUGGAAUGAAGGAGGCUAGCUAGAGAGAGGAGGGAAUGCCUACACCUGUUAAUCUGAAUGUUUCCAUUCCAACUAUCACGAUACUAUAGUAUAUUAUACUAUGAGCUCUCUGCUUCUUUUGGCAUGUGUGUGUUGUGUUACUUCUGAUAUAAAGCACACCUGUUGCUUUCUUUUCUUAUCUGAUAUUUUGCAUUAUUAUUAUCUAGAAUCUAGUCUCUGAAUGGUGGGGGUGGGGUUAUAAUCAGAGGGAGGAGAGUACAAGGACAAUGGGAUUAUUUCCUGAUCAGAUAUCCUUAACUGACAUUAAAUAAUUCUGUGACUUCUGAUUUCAGAAACACAAAGCAUCUAUUAGAUUCAUGUUUUCCAAAUUUGCUAAGUGCCUACUAGAUACCAGGUACUAGACAUGCUUGAUUUUAUCAAGAAAUAAUUAAACAUACAGACUUAGAUACGAAGAAAUCUAAAGUAUAUUUAAAAACAGUUUGCUUUUUGUUUUUUGAGGAACUAUAUUAUAAAAAACAACAACUGUGGGUUCCCAAGUAAAUACCUGUGGAAAAACUAGAAAUAAUUAAUCAGCAAGUAAGCUGGGAAACCCGCAGAAAAGGGCAACUCAAAGCUAUUCAUAUAUAUUUUUUAAUGUUUAGUGAUUUAGAAAAUAUUCAAAGUUAGGGUAUACUUUUUAUUAACUGAUUAUUUUGUAUUGUUUAGUCAUUCUUGUUUGUUUCAUAUGUUUUCAUAUAUUUCAUGUAUUUUUUGGUCAUUGUUAUCAGAUGGUUAAAAAAUGCAUUUUUUUUUCUCAGCUAGCCCUGGUUAAUUGUUUAAUAGAAUUUAAAAGGAAGUAUUGGCUGGGUGUGGUGGCUCACACCUGUAAUUUCAGCACUUUGGGAGGUGGAGGCAGGUGGAUUACCUGAGGUCAGGAGUUCAAGAUCAGCCUGGCCAACAUGUUGAAACCCCAUCUCUACUAAAAAUAAUAAUAAUAAAAAAUUAGCCAGGCAUGAUGGCAGGUGCCUGCAGUCCCAGCUACUUCGGAGGUUGAGGCAGGAGAAUUGCUUGAACCCGGGAGGCGAAGGUUGCAGUAAGCUGAGAUUGCACCACUGCACUUCAGCCUAAAACAAGAGCAAAACUCUGUCUUAAAUAACAAACACAUAAUUAAAAAAAGAAAGUAUUUUCCUCUCUUAUCCUGUUUGUGAUCUAAUGUCUAUGUCAGCAUUUCCCGGUAAGAAAAAUAAACUUCGUGGAAAUGAAUAGGUAACAAAUUGACUCAUUUUUUUGAAUUAUCAUGUGAGGACAAAAUUCAGAAAUAAAGGACUGAGUUGACCUGUUUAAAUAUGACUAAUUUGGAUUGAAUCAAAGGGAUGUUAUUACCAGACAUCUCUUGGGAGUCUGUGCUCUUGAUAAAAUGUGUGUGAGAAAAGCCAGAAUUCAGAAUGAAACUGGUUCUUUAUAUUAUAGGUCUUUUGAAAAGCGAAAUCAACUAGUUUUAUAGUGAGCCAUAAAAUAAAGGUGAGGUAAUUCACAUUAGUAAAUUUAAACUCGAAUUCUUUAAAAACAUUAUGAGUACAUUGAAACUACCAACUGUAAUGCCUUUGGGCAGGGGCUAAAAUUCUGAAGGCCUCAGUACUCUCAAUAUUCCUCUUGUUUUGAAUGGUUGAAAUAGCUUCUGAUAUUGUAAUUUUAGGUGUGUGAGACUCAUUCCAGCAUGAAGUGUAUGAAA
This is a long non-coding RNA of Callithrix jacchus (white-tufted-ear marmoset), 3225 nucleotides long. The record is from Ensembl. NCBI's taxonomy places the organism in Eukaryota, Metazoa, Chordata, Mammalia, Primates, Cebidae.